GAGUUUGAUCAUGGCUCAGAACGAACGCUGGCGGCAGGCCUAACACAUGCAAGUCGAACGCCGUAGCAAUACGGAGUGGCAGACGGGUGAGUAACACGUGGGAACGUGCCCAAAGGUACGGAACAACUCCGGGAAACUGGAGCUAAUACCGUAUGUGCCCGAAAGGGGAAAGAUUUGUCGCCUUUGGAUCGGCCCGCGUCUGAUUAGCUAGUUGGUGGGGUAACGGCCUACCAAGGCGACGAUCAGUAGCUGGUCUGAGAGGAUGAUCAGCCACACUGGGACUGAGACACGGCCCAGACUCCUACGGGAGGCAGCAGUGGGGAAUAUUGGACAAUGGGCGCAAGCCUGAUCCAGCCAUGCCGCGUGAGUGAUGAAGGCCUUAGGGUUGUAAAGCUCUUUUGUCCGGGAAGAUAAUGACCGUACCGGAAGAAUAAGCUCCGGCUAACUUCGUGCCAGCAGCAGCCGGCGU
Molecule: ribosomal RNA, 469 nt
Filed under: uncultured Alphaproteobacteria bacterium
Lineage: Bacteria; Pseudomonadati; Pseudomonadota; Alphaproteobacteria
Description: bacterial SSU rRNA
Rfam family: Bacterial small subunit ribosomal RNA
Source: RNAcentral